AGUACAGCGAGCGCGCCGAGGUCGUGCGGGAAAUUCCGUCAGUGAGGGAAAAUGCGGUGUUUAAAGUCUGGGGGGAAGAAAGAACUAAACAAACAAGAAUGAGUGAAAACUGUAGGCCCUAAUCAGAUUAUUGCACACAGCAAGACCUAAAAAGACCUACAGAAGACCUAAAAAGACCUAGAAAGACCUACAGAGACCGACAGAAGACCUAGAAAGACCUGGAAAAAACUUAAAAAGACCGACAGAAGACCUAAAAAGACCUAGAAAUACCUAGAAAGACCUAAAAAGACCUACAGAAGACCUAAAAAGACCUAGAAAUACCUACAGAAGACCUAGGAAACCAGUGAUUCUCUAAAACUAUAGUGUUUGAAACCUUUCAGAUGGAGCAUUUCACAUGAAAAUGAAACUUAAAUAAAACAAAUACAAUUCCUGUUCA
Molecule: long non-coding RNA, 436 nt
Organism: Silurus meridionalis
Lineage: Eukaryota; Metazoa; Chordata; Actinopteri; Siluriformes; Siluridae
Exons: 2
Source: RefSeq, a predicted model, not a curated record